CCUACGGGCGGCAGCAGUGGGGAAUAUUGCACAAUGGGGGAAACCCUGAUGCAGCAACGCCGCGUGAGUGAAGAAGUAUUUCGGUAUGUAAAGCUCUAUCAGCAGGGAAGAUAAUGACGGUACCUGACUAAGAAGCUCCGGCUAAAUACGUGCCAGCAGCCGCGGUAAUACGUAUGGAGCAAGCGUUAUCCGGAUUUACUGGGUGUAAAGGGAGCGUAGACGGAGUGGCAAGUCUGAUGUGAAAACCCGGGGCUCAACCCCGGGACUGCAUUGGAAACUGUCAAUCUAGAGUACCGGAGAGGUAAGCGGAAUUCCUAGUGUAGCGGUGAAAUGCGUAGAUAUUAGGAGGAACACCAGUGGCGAAGGCGGCCUGCUGGACUGUUACUGACACUGAGGCACGAAAGCGUGGGGAGCAAACAGGAUU
This 424-nucleotide ribosomal RNA is filed under the name uncultured Sutterella sp. RNAcentral describes it as "bacterial SSU rRNA". It matches the Rfam family "Bacterial small subunit ribosomal RNA", at positions 338 to 779 of the family's 1533-position model. Lineage: Bacteria; Pseudomonadati; Pseudomonadota; Betaproteobacteria; Burkholderiales; Sutterellaceae. The record is from RNAcentral.